AUGAACCUAGACAUGAGCUGGAUGUACUUAUAUUCUGUGUUUGCAGGUGCCCAGUAUGAUGUGCAGCUGGUGGAGUCUGGGGGAGGCCUAGUGCAGGCUGGAAAGUCCCUGAAACUCUCCUCUGCAGCCUCUGGAUUCACUUUCAGUAGCUAUGACAUAAGCUGGGUCCGCCAGGCUCCAGGGAAAGGACUGGAGUGGGUGGCAUACAUUAGUGGUGGUAGUAGUUACAUCAACUAUGCCAAUGCUGUCAAUGGCCGGUUCACCAUCUCCAGGGAGAAUGCCAAGAACACGCUGUACCUGCAAAUGAACAGGCUGAGCUCUGAGGAUACAGCCAUGUAUUACUGUACCAGAGUCACAGUGAUACAAUUCUACUGUGAGCUCAGACACAAACCUCCCUGCAGGGUUAUCAGGACCAGCAGAGGGCGCGAGUUUCACACAAAGAUCUGGGCAAUGGAAGAGCCUCUUCAGAGGCAUAGAGGGUUGGAGUCCUCUGUGACUGGGCUGCUUCUCUGUAACAAUCUCAAGGAUUCUCUCUGCUGGUAUGCUCUGUAG
Non-coding RNA from Onychomys torridus (southern grasshopper mouse), 552 nucleotides. Lineage: Eukaryota; Metazoa; Chordata; Mammalia; Rodentia; Cricetidae. The record is from the annotation of a RefSeq genome assembly.